UAUUUAGCUACUCAUAAUGUUGGGAUUGAACAAAAAAAGUUAAAAGACAUCACCAAAAUUCGAUGAAACGUGAUUACUUUUCAAUGGUGUGCCAUCUUCUUCUCAUGUCUGCUUUUUUUUCCCAUCUCAAGUCCAUCCCCUUUAACAGUUGUCUGCUUUGUGUGUAUAUAUAUGUUUUCUACUCAGCCGCUAAUAUGCCUUUUUAUUUUUUCUAGCCGCAAUUCCCAGCUCUUUCUAAUUUCCAAAGCAACCAGCCUACUAUUCUCUCAAGGGAAAUGCUUGAAGUAUAGGUAAGAGUUUAUAGAACCCCUACCUAACACUCACAACAUGGGUGGGGUGGGUGGGGUUUUGGGCAUUUUUUUAUACAAGCGGGUCCUACUCUUUGUGAAUGUGUGUAGGUAUAAUUGUUCUCUCAAUGAUUCUAAAUAAACAGCAGGCACCCUGCCAAUAGGGCUGGACAAACAGGGCCUACGUGGCCCUAUUUGCCAAGUAGAGUUCUUGUUCUCUCUCUCUCUCUCUCCAUGCACGUUCUUCUCAACCUCAACCGCCCAAUUGUUGUAGUCUCUAAGUGGGGUUUUGGGCAUUUUUUUAUACAAGCGGAUCCCACCUUUUGUGAGUGUGUGUAGGUAUAAUUGUUCUACCAAUAAUUCUAAAUAAACGACAGGCAUCCUGCCAAUAGAGCCUAGACAAACAAGGCCUACGUGGCCCUAUUUGCCAAGUAGAGCUCUCGUUCUCUCUCUCUCUCUCUCUCUCUCUCUCUCUCUCUCUCUAUAUAUAUAUAUAUAUAUAUGCAUGUUCUUCUCAACCUCAACCGCCCAAUUGUUAUAGUCUCUAAUUAGGAAUCAAAUUGCUUUCCAUUUCAAGUGCCCAUAACUUUUAUGAUAGAAAGAAAGUCCAAGUCCACUUAAGUUCCUGUAGAAGUUUCAUCACAUACCUUAUUUUAAAUAAAUAUUCAAAUUAUACUACUAAAUAUUUUUUAAACCAAAACUAAUGCAAUUUAUGUAGUAAAAAUGAAAAAAAUAAUAAUAAUUGCUUCUAUCAUCCAUUUAUUGAUUUCACUGCUGUAAUUACUCCUCUAAACACAUCAACAUUCCUGAUUAAGAAAUACAUUUUCGAAUCUACAUGGCUUUAAUCAAUCCACGAAACGCGCCCCAACUAUCCCAGGUUAACUUUCCCAAAAAAUUACCUCUUAUUUGAAGAAUUUUUCCAUUCAAUUUCAUUCAAAUAGUUCUUCACAUACCAAGUUUAGGUUUUAUUUCAACCUGUAAAUCUAGAAAUUCAUACCAAAUCGCGGUUCAACAUUGGCUUGAAGCAAGAACAAACACCCAAUCUAAGGUUCAUCAUAGGCUGCUAAUCCGUCAUGCUAUUUGUCAAUGGGCUUAGAUGGGAAUGAAAAGGAAAUGAAGAUACCAACCAAAUGAAGACCAUAGCUCAACUGGAAACUACUGAUAUGUGCAUAAAGUCUACAAAGGAGGAAAGAAUUAAAAAUGAAAAAAAAAAUUCAUCGACAACAAAAGUGAAUAUGUGUAGAGAACAAAGGAAGAAAUGGAAAAACUCAAAAUUAAAAUAGAUGAAUAGUAACAAAAAAGAACAAAAUUGGAACUAGUGUUAAGGCUUAAGAGGCAAAGUCUUUUGACAUUGCAACUCACUCAUAAAGAAAUACAGUUGGAGUCAAAAGCAUUUGAAAAACAUGCUGCUCAUGCACUUAGCUACAUCAGUAACUAAUCGGAGGCCGCAAAUAAUAUUGUUGUUCAGUUGACUCGAGGUGAAUGUCACAGGUUGGAGCAACUAUAUUCCCACCACGGAUCGAGCAAAGGAAGAAUGGAAGAAAAUAGAAGUCCUAAUGAAAGUUUUGUGGAUCUCAUAGAAGAGCAAUAUGCAAGUAUCAGAG
RNAcentral lists this long non-coding RNA (1891 nucleotides) under Olea europaea (common olive). RNAcentral describes it as "long non-coding RNA (OEUR_LNC003929)". Lineage: Eukaryota; Viridiplantae; Streptophyta; Magnoliopsida; Lamiales; Oleaceae. The record is from RNAcentral.